Molecule: ribosomal RNA, 697 nt
Filed under: Croceibacter atlanticus
Lineage: Bacteria; Pseudomonadati; Bacteroidota; Flavobacteriia; Flavobacteriales; Flavobacteriaceae
Description: bacterial SSU rRNA
Rfam family: Bacterial small subunit ribosomal RNA
Source: RNAcentral
CGCGUAUACAACCUACCUUAUACAGGGGUAUAGCCCAGGGAAACUUGGAUUAACACCCCAUAGUAAUAUGUUUUGGCAUCAUUGCAUAUUUAAAACUACGGUGGUAUAAGAUGGGUAUGCGUCCCAUUAGCUUGUUGGUGUGGUAACGGCACACCAAGGCAACGAUGGGUAGGGGCCCUGAGAGGGGGAUCCCCCACACUGGUACUGAGACACGGACCAGACUCCUACGGGAGGCAGCAGUGAGGAAUAUUGGACAAUGGGCGGGAGCCUGAUCCAGCCAUGCCGCGUGCAGGAAGACUGCCCUAUGGGUUGUAAACUGCUUUUAUACGGGAAGAAACCCACCUACGUGUAGGUGGCUGACGGUACCGUAAGAAUAAGGACCGGCUAACUCCGUGCCAGCAGCCGCGGUAAUACGGAGGGUCCGAGCGUUAUCCGGAAUCAUUGGGUUUAAAGGGUCCGCAGGCGGCCAGAUAAGUCAGUGGUGAAAUUCCGUGGCUCAACCACGGAACUGCCAUUGAUACUGUUUGGCUUGAAUCAGUUCGAGGAUGCCGGAAUGUGUGGUGUAGCGGUGAAAUGCAUAGAUAUCACACAGAACACCAAUUGCGAAGGCAGGUGUCCAGAACUGUAUUGACGCUGAUGGACGAAAGCGUGGUAAGCUAUUACACGACCUAACCUGCAAUCGGUCUUAAUGCGGGUA